CCAUAGUAGAAUACAAGAGAAGUGACUAUGUAAAAAUAAAAGGACAGAUUUAGGUAGGUAAAGGAAAGAAAAAACUUUAGAUCAAAGACUGGAGCACAACUCGUUUCAGACAAAGAUGCAAGUAUUAAAUCUAAGAGUAAUGCUAGGCUAAAAAAGAGCAAGGUUGAGCGCCUGACGAAUCUGCACAGAAAAAAGCAGAGCAGGUUGAAUGCUAGUAUGCAAUGCACCAUAGACUUCAAGAGUCAGCGAAUAUAAAAGGCUAGUCUAUCAUCAACAAAGAUAGAUAUAUCCAUAUAUAUAACACUUAGGAAUAUAUAGUAGGGGUUGAAAAAAUCGUACCAUUCAAAGUUCCGUUCACCUUGUAUAUAUGUUUAGCCUAGUCUUUGUGUAGGAUAAGCUCAAGAUCUAAUCAAAUAUGAUCAACACAGUAAAGCAAGCCCAACACCACAGAAGUGCAUAUCAGUUAUACCGAUACGAUUAAUGUUUUUGUUAGAAUUAAUCAUCCUAAGCAUUAUCAGUCCUAAUUCCCCCUAUAGCCGCGGUAAGUAUUAAGUUUCACGGAAUCAAGCCCAGCUAGAAUGUACAUCAAGUAUGACUUCAGAAGAAGGUCUGGUCACAAGAUUACAAACCUCAUACUCUCUGAUAUUAUACUUAAACAAAAUAGAUAAGCUUAACUAGUUUGAAUAGUUAGCAGGAAAUUGAUCCUUGUAAAAAAAUAAACAGUUCAGAGAGAAAUUUAAGAAGCUAGCCAGAUAGGUUGCACAAGUCAAAAUCUGUUAGGGCCUCUAACCUCUAUUGGAUGAAACCUGAAAAGUUGUCUUCGAAGCAUAUACAAAUUCUUUGAAAUGGCUCAGCACUUAUUCUAGCAGAGAAGGCAACAGCAUAGAAAUAUGGUAACAAAGGCAAUGGCAUAAGGCCUGUUUGGAGUCGCUUAUUUCCCGCUUAUUGGUGAAAAUAAGCGAUAAACCCACCCAAACGCCUCGCUUAUUCCCCGCUUGUCACGUAAGCCGCUUAGUGGAAAAUCUGGAAUUGAACUAGCAGGCCGCUUAUCUCGUACGUGGCUCUGGGUACGCUUCUGGGGCAAGCGGACCGUUUUUUCGCAGUACCCUCGGCCACCGACGCCACCGAGCCUCCCGCAACCGCCGCCACACCCGUCCGCUCCAGAUCCCGCCGCCGCUGCCGCCGCUCGGGUCGCUCGGGCCGCUUCCAGAUCACCACCGCCGGGCUCGGCCCCCGCCGCCGGACGCCCCUGCCGCCUGGGCUCGGGCCCCGCCUCCGGUCGCGCCGCCCGGGCUCGGAUCCCGCCGCCGGCCGCCCGUGCCGCCCUUGCUCGGCCCCCGCCGCCGGCCGCUCGUGCUGCGCUCGGCCCCCAACGCCGGCCGCCCGUGCCGCCUGCGCUGGGCCCCCGCCGCCGGCCGCCCGUGCUGCGCUCGGCUCCGCCGCCGGCAGCCCGGCCCGCCUGCGCUGGGCCCCCGCUGCCGGCCGCCUGUGCUGCGUUGGUCCCUGCCGCCGGCCGCCCGUGAGGCGCCUGUCGCCAGGACUGAAGUGUUGAGGGAUGUCCAGCUCCAGCUCAUGGAGAUGAGAACGCCGCCGUGAGCAGCGUGGUGAGCGGCCACACGGCGCGCCUCGCCCGCCCCUUCUCCGGAGACCCGGGCGGCGCACGCUCGUAUGCGCGGAGGCAGCGGAAGAGGAGGAGCAGGGCGAGGUACGAGCCGACGACAAAGAGGACGGAGGCGGGGUCGCCCCUGGCGCUGUAGAUGGCGAGGCCGGAGUUGAGCGUGAGGAAGCCGAAGCCGGCCAUGGUGACCCAGGUCGGCGCGAGGUUGCGAUUUUCCGCCAUGGCAGCGCAGAGGUGCUUUAUGCGUGUGGUUUGGGGGCAGCAGACUAGUGGAAAAUGGCCAAAUGGGAGAGGGAAAUCCCAAGUCGCCGGUCGGGUCAAGUGGAUCACCUCGCCGUUUCGUGAUUCGUUGUUGUACCCAUGAUGGAUGUUUCCAUACUAGACCGAUCUAUCGUAUGAAUUUAUUGUAAUGUAAUUUCUAUUUAACAAACUCCAAAGGCAUUAGAAUUAUUGUCUUCUCCUCAGAUUCACAAUAAAAAUGAGCUAUUAUCAGCCUUAGGGGCAUUCAGGUCAAUUUACCAACCAGGACAGACAAUCGACACAAAAUAAUCAGGAUUGCCAAACACCCUGCUUAUUCAGACAGCAGAUUCUCCAGGCAGCAGGCUUACCAGAUAAGCUUGCUUGCCAGAUAAGCGAGUUCCAGAAAAGCGUAUACAAACAGGCAAGCGAGUUCCAGAAAAGCGUAUACAAACAGGCCCAUAGACUGAAAGAAUGAUUUAUCAGCUUGAAGUGACAUUUCAUCGAACACUUAAAGUGCAAGCAUUAGAAGGAUAGAGCAUCAAGCACAGCAAAUCACCUUGGGUGUCUCGAGAAUGACCAGAUUGACAGGCAGCAAAAUUGCCUCGUCGUGGUGAGUGUGGCUGUUUCGAUAGGUGGCAAGCACAGAGCAGCAAACACAGGCAACAGCGUCCUGCUGCCUUGCUGGCACUGAUGCCUUAGCGAGCUUCAUGGCGGUGUAGCGGAUAUCCUCAGGUGUGGCGAGCGUGGCCGGAUCGAUGUGGGGCAGACGACCGCCGACGCCUGGGCGGGCCUUCCAUCACUGCCGUCGAUGGCCGCGCCGGCAAUGGAGGAGAUUUAGGCUGGCCACCCGGCGACGACCUGCUCCCCAUGCGCCUUGUUUGCAAAGCUCUCGUCCAGGGUGAGGUGCGACGAGUGGGAGAGGGAGCGCCUAUCCUGCCACGAC
This 2801-nucleotide long non-coding RNA is filed under the name Setaria italica (foxtail millet). RNAcentral describes it as "long non-coding RNA (SITA_LNC002557)". The record is from RNAcentral. Lineage: Eukaryota; Viridiplantae; Streptophyta; Magnoliopsida; Poales; Poaceae.